GGACCCGUAAUCCGGGUUGCGGACAGUGUCUGGUGGGUAGUUUGACUGGGGCGGUCUCCUCCUAAAGAGUAACGGAGGAGCACGAAGGUUGGCUAAUCCUGGUCGGACAUCAGGAGGUUAGUGCAAUGGCAUAAGCCAGCUUGACUGCGAGCGUGACGGCGCGAGCAGGUGCGAAAGCAGGUCAUAGUGAUCCGGUGGUUCUGAAUGGAAGGGCCAUCGCUCAACGGAUAAAAGGUACUCCGGGGAUAACAGGCUGAUACCGCCCAAGAGUUCAUAUCGACGGCGGUGUUUGGCACCUCGAUGUCGGCUCAUCACAUCCUGGGGCUGAAGUAGGUCCCAAGGGUAUGGCUGUUCGCCAUUUAAAGUGGUACGCGAGCUGGGUUUAGAACGUCGUGAGACAGUUCGGUCCCUAUCUGCCGUGGGCGCUGGAGAACUGAGGGGGGCUGCUCCUAGUACGAGAGGACCGGAGUGGACGCAUCACUGGUGUUCGGGUUGUCAUGCCAAUGGCACUGCCCGGUAGCUAAAUGCGGAAGAGAUAAGUGCUGAAAGCAUCUAAGCACGAAACUUGCCCCGAGAUGAGUUCUCCCUGAGACUUAGAGUCUCCUGAAGGAACGUUGAAGACGACGACGUUGAUAGGCCGGGUGUGUAAGCGCAGCGAUGCGUUGAGCUAACCGGUACUAAUGAACCGUGAGGCUUAACCUUACAACGCCGAA
This 713-nucleotide ribosomal RNA is filed under the name Salmonella enterica subsp. enterica serovar Paratyphi B var. L(+) tartrate +. Its description in RNAcentral is "partial 23S ribosomal RNA". It matches the Rfam family "Bacterial large subunit ribosomal RNA", at positions 2229 to 2925 of the family's 2925-position model. The record is from RNAcentral. Lineage: Bacteria; Pseudomonadati; Pseudomonadota; Gammaproteobacteria; Enterobacterales; Enterobacteriaceae.